GACGAACGCUGGCGGCGUGCUUAACACAUGCAAGUCGAACGAAGUGGCGAACGGGUGAGUAACGCGUAAUCAACCUGCCCUUCAGGGGGGGACAACAGUUGGAAACGACUGCUAAUACCGCAUACUGAAGGAGGUGAUUGCGUGGGAUUAGCUAGUUGGGGGGGUAACGGCCCACCAAGGUGAAGAUCAGUAGCCGGUCUGGGAGGAUGGACGGCCAAAGUGGGAAUGGGACACGGCCCAGACUCCUACGGGAGGGCGCAGGGGGGAAAUGUCCGAAAUGGAGGAAAGGCUGACGGAGCAACGCCGCGGGAGGGAUGAAGGGCUUCGGGUUGUAAAGCUCUGUUAAGCGGGACGCGGUACCGGAAUAGAAAGCCACGGCUAACUACGUGCCAGCAGCCGCGGUAAUAC
RNAcentral lists this ribosomal RNA (408 nucleotides) under uncultured bacterium. RNAcentral's name for it is "partial 16S ribosomal RNA". It matches the Rfam family "Bacterial small subunit ribosomal RNA", at positions 28 to 526 of the family's 1533-position model. The record is from RNAcentral.